Molecule: long non-coding RNA, 340 nt
Filed under: Gorilla gorilla gorilla (western lowland gorilla)
Lineage: Eukaryota; Metazoa; Chordata; Mammalia; Primates; Hominidae
Description: lncRNA (ENSGGOG00000044580.1)
Source: RNAcentral
CUCUGGGCAGGAAUGAGGUGCCCCACUUACAGAAGAUGCACAGGUCAGAAGAGGCUCACCAGCAUUUCUGGAUUGAUCGCAGAGUUGAACAACAGAGAAUGUGUGCACAGUGCCAGGCACAGGUGUGGUCAAGAUUCACCUGGGAGAGGAAGCGGGCAGGGGCAGAGGAGUGUGGCCACCUGAGCUGAGAGGCUGCAUGGCAGGUGACCAUUAUUACCAGUGUCACUGGCCAGGUCACCUCUCUGAAUUUUGUGGUUGCAACUUCCAUGAUUCCCUAGAGCUGUUUUUACCUAGAAUUAAUGAAAAAUUCUGCACAUUAAAUUCGUGCUGUUAGAAUCAC